RNAcentral lists this ribosomal RNA (468 nucleotides) under uncultured bacterium. Its description in RNAcentral is "partial 16S ribosomal RNA". It matches the Rfam family "Bacterial small subunit ribosomal RNA", at positions 28 to 507 of the family's 1533-position model. The record is from RNAcentral.
GACGAACGCUGGCGGCGUGCUUAACACAUGCAAGUCGAACGGAAAGGCCCUGCUUUUGUGGGGUGCUCGAGUGGCGAACGGGUGAGUAACACGUGAGUAACCUGCCCUUGACUUUGGGAUAACUUCAGGAAACUGGGGCUAAUACCGGAUAGGAGCUCCUGCUGCAUGGUGGGGGUUGGAAAGUUUCGGCGGUUGGGGAUGGACUCGCGGCUUAUCAGCUUGUUGGUGGGGUAGUGGCUUACCAAGGCUUUGACGGGUAGCCGGCCUGAGAGGGUGACCGGCCACAUUGGGACUGAGAUACGGAGCAGACUCCUACGGGAGGCAGCAGUGGGGAAUAUUGCACAAUGGGCGGAAGCCUGAUGCAGCAACGCCGCGUGCGGGAUGACGGCCUUCGGGUUGUAAACCGCUUUCGCCUGUGACGAAGCGUGAGUGACGGUAAUGGGUAAAGAGGCACCGGCUAACUACGUG